GGUGAGAAUGUUGAAACGAUCGCCACCCUGGAGAAGAGGAUGGUGAGCACCGUGGAGGAUGGUGGCUGUGCUUAGAUGGCACGAAAUGAGCCAUCGGCUCCUUCACUGGCGGCUGCUGCUACUGUUAGAUUUACUGCUGUUGGAGGUUUUGAACCACCUCCGUCAAAACCUUCAUUUACUGCAUGAGCGCAGUAAUUUGCACAUCUGUAGUAACCACAGGAUGUGAAAAACUGGGCUCUGCCAUUGGAGAUGGGGGAAGAAUAUCUUUCCGACAGGAAGACUGCUUCGUCGAUUCAGUCAAAUGUUGAACUUUGAUUUUCGACAUGGUUGAUUGUAGUUUUUCUCCUACCUAGUGCAUCAAUCUAUUGCGGUCAAUCUCCUGUAGCGCC
Molecule: long non-coding RNA, 389 nt
Filed under: Elaeis guineensis (African oil palm)
Lineage: Eukaryota; Viridiplantae; Streptophyta; Magnoliopsida; Arecales; Arecaceae
Description: long non-coding RNA (EGUI_LNC049378)
Source: RNAcentral